GGCUUCUGCCAUGAUUGUGAGGCCUCCCCACCUACGUGGAACUGCCGUUGAGUUCAGCUUAUGGUGAUGGAAAGAGAGAUGUCAAUAAUUCCACAUUUUCUGGCUUGCAUUGUUUGAUGAAAGGUGACCCCAUUCCCUGAGUUAAAGAAUGCUGAAAGAAGACCAGGCUUGAGGAGGAAGGAUCAUGCAUUUGCUUUUGGACCUGUAGAGUUUGAGGGCAGAGCUGAAGAAGCAGUGCAAGUCCAUUUGAAGACCUCUGGAAGGAAACCCCCAGCGGCUCUUUUUUCACUGAACAAGCAUUGUGGGAAUUUGGGGCUCGGCUGUGUAAUUUGUCCUCUUCUCAUUCAUUCAGGACAUGUUCAGCACCAGGAGGAAUUUGCAUCCAAGUCCGUCUCCCUGCUAAGUGGUAUUUUGAGAAUUCCGAAGCUUAGUCUCAGAGAAGAGCUGACCUGAACUUGCCGAGGCUCCCACUGCAUUGUAGCUUUUCUCUGGAGAACAAAAACUGCCAUUGUCCAGCAGCUCAUUAGCAUGACUGUACAGCCUCCGGAGUUAGCAAGGUGAUGCAAAAAUAAUAUGACAAGAUCCAUGUCUUCAAUGAGCUACAAUCCUACUGGGACAUGAGACUGUGCUUAUAAUAUGAUGAAAGAAUAAGAAAAUUUUAAAGCUAUAACAGGCAGAGCACAAGAACAAGCAGAGCUAUAACAAGCAGAGCACAAGAAGGAAGAGUGCAGAUCCAGGACUGGGACACUUAACCAAUAAUAAUACAAAUAAUGAAAACACAGCAGCAACAGGUGCCAUUUUGGAAGCAAGAAGCAGAGAACAAGCUCUCACUGGGCAUUAAAUCUGCCGGCAUCUUGAUCUUGAACUUCUCAACCUCCAGAACUCUGAGAAAUAAAUUUCUAUUAUUUACAAAUUA
Long non-coding RNA from Homo sapiens (human), 916 nucleotides. The record is from Ensembl. Lineage: Eukaryota; Metazoa; Chordata; Mammalia; Primates; Hominidae.